This 301-nucleotide ribosomal RNA is filed under the name uncultured bacterium. RNAcentral's name for it is "partial 16S ribosomal RNA". It matches the Rfam family "Bacterial small subunit ribosomal RNA", at positions 509 to 807 of the family's 1533-position model. The record is from RNAcentral.
CAGCAGCCGCGGGAAUACGAAGGGGGCUAGCGUUGCUCGGAAUUACUGGGCGUAAAGGGCGCGUAGGCGGACAGUUCAGUCGGGGGUGAAAGCCCGGGGCUCAACCUCGGAAUUGCCUUCGAUACUGGCUGUCUUGAGUAUGAGAGAGGUGUGUGGAACUCCGAGUGUAGAGGUGAAAUUCGUAGAUAUUCGGAAGAACACCAGUGGCGAAGGCGACUCUCUGGUCUGUAACUGACGCUGAGGAGCGAAAGCGUGGGGAGCGAACAGGAUUAGAUACCCCGGUAGUCCCUGUCUCUUAUAC